Molecule: ribosomal RNA, 216 nt
Filed under: Glomeromycotina sp.
Lineage: Eukaryota; Fungi; Glomeromycota
Description: partial small subunit ribosomal RNA
Rfam family: Eukaryotic small subunit ribosomal RNA (bases 40-216)
Source: RNAcentral
GGGUCAGUAGGUUGGUCGUGCCACCGGUACGUACUGGUCUCACUGAUUCCUCCUUCCUGAAGAACCUUAAUGCCAUUAAUUUGGUGUUGCGGGGAAACAGGACUGUUACUUUGAAAAAAUUAGAUUUUUUAAAGCAAGCUAACGCUUGAAUACAUUAGCAUGGAAUAAUGAAAUAGGACGAUCGAUCCUAUUUUGUUGGUUUCUAGGAUUGACGUA